GGGCCCGCACAAGCGGCGGAGCAUGUGGCUCAAUUCGAUGCAACGCGAAGAACCUUACCUGGGCUGAACUAUGCGGGAAAAGCCGUAGAAAUACGGUGUCCUUCGGGGCCCGUGAUAGGUGGUGCA
RNAcentral lists this ribosomal RNA (126 nucleotides) under uncultured bacterium. RNAcentral describes it as "partial 16S ribosomal RNA". It matches the Rfam family "Bacterial small subunit ribosomal RNA", at positions 917 to 1045 of the family's 1533-position model. The record is from RNAcentral.